Molecule: long non-coding RNA, 1040 nt
Filed under: Anas zonorhyncha (Eastern spot-billed duck)
Lineage: Eukaryota; Metazoa; Chordata; Aves; Anseriformes; Anatidae
Description: lncRNA (ENSAZOG00000004299.1)
Source: RNAcentral
AUGAAUCAAUCCCUUUAUGCGUUACCUCUGAUAUGCCUUUUUUUAUAUCUAAGAGGCUUCUGUGUGUUUGCUAUUUAUUUUGUAGCUCUUGUUAAUGCAGCACGCGAAUCUAGUGCUGCUCAGAUAAAUCAGCUGCAGUCUGCAUUGAAGAGCAUUGCUUAUGAAAUUGAAUUGCUGGAUGAGAAGCAAACCCUUUGUGAAAGACAGAAUGCUGCACUGUGUGAGGAACAAGAAUACUUGCAGACACAGCAUAAAAGAAGAGUAGACUUGCUGAAUGAAAGGAUGGCAACAAAAAUUAACACAAAUAUUCUGUUAAUUGAGACUUACAAUAAAACAAGGGAGACAGAAAGAGAAAUAAUCAGGGCAAAGGCAGCGUUAGAGGAAUUAAAAGAAAAAAUAGCUGAAAAAAUAAGUAAACUUGAGAAAGAGAAUGAAGAAUGUGAUGAAAAGGUAAAGGUUUUGAAAUGUAUUUCAGUUUUACAGAUGGUUAUAUAGUGCCAAAAAUGAAAUGCUCUUUGAAUUUGUGCUGAGUGUUGGGUUUAGCUUUCUCAUACGGAGCUCACUUAGAUCUCCAUAGCAGCCAAACACAAAAAUGACUCUUGUCAUUGGGAGUGCACAGGCACAAACUGACUCUUUUGACUUCUGCGUACAUGUGUUUGUGUAUUCGUGUGUGUGUGGUGUAUAUGUAGACACACAAACGUGCACAUCAAAAUCAAAUGGUAUAUGGAAUUUGUUUCCUAGUAGUGCAUCUCAGGAUGUCAUGUCUGUACUGGUUGUUUUUACUGGGUGUAGGAUAAAUAAUCAUAUGCUGGAAUUUCACCCCUCCAGACACACUUCUUAAAAUAAAGGUACCUAUAUUUACCAGCAAACUCUGUGAUAAGUUUUCACUGUUUAUUUAUUUAUUUUAUCCUGCCCUACUUUCGGUUGCAUAUAUCUGGUAUCGUUUCUGAAUGCUAACAUAAAAAUAGAUGAAUAGAUUAAAAGAAAACUUCCAAGUAGAAAACAUUUUUCUGCAGAACAGAACUGUAGCUGUGUUCCUA